Molecule: transfer RNA, 71 nt
Filed under: Anguilla anguilla (European eel)
Lineage: Eukaryota; Metazoa; Chordata; Actinopteri; Anguilliformes; Anguillidae
Description: tRNA-OTHER
Source: RNAcentral
UCCAGUGUAAUAUAAUGGGUAAGAAGUUGGUCUUGUAACCUAAAGGUCGCAGGUUCAAGUCCCCGCUAGGA